GGCUGGUAAGGGCUUCCAUUUCUCAAUACCCUAAAGAGAAAACGUUUGCAAUGAUCAGGGCCACUAUCAUGGACCAAUAGAAAUUCAGGUGGUUGCCACCUUCUCUUAUUUCAGAUUUCCAUCAAAGCAGACACAGGAUGUUUGCCUGGCAGAUCUUUCAUUGCAGCAGAGAAGUUCCCAGACCUCUUUUUUGCUCUUUCUCCUACUGCAACAAGACCUUUUCGGUCUGUCUUAAAAUCAACUAGGAUGGGUUCCUUAUUGCCUUCUUUGUUUUUUCCUAAUCCUUCUCCUUCUCUCCAGCCCAUUUUC
Molecule: long non-coding RNA, 309 nt
Filed under: Homo sapiens (human)
Lineage: Eukaryota; Metazoa; Chordata; Mammalia; Primates; Hominidae
Description: HSALNT0016008
Source: RNAcentral